RNAcentral lists this ribosomal RNA (886 nucleotides) under Bacillus safensis. RNAcentral's name for it is "bacterial SSU rRNA". It matches the Rfam family "Bacterial small subunit ribosomal RNA", at positions 62 to 931 of the family's 1533-position model. The record is from RNAcentral. Lineage: Bacteria; Bacillati; Bacillota; Bacilli; Caryophanales; Bacillaceae.
UCGAGCGGACAGAAGGGAGCUUGCUCCCGGAUGUUAGCGGCGGACGGGUGAGUAACACGUGGGUAACCUGCCUGUAAGACUGGGAUAACUCCGGGAAACCGGAGCUAAUACCGGAUAGUUCCUUGAACCGCAUGGUUCAAGGAUGAAAGACGGUUUCGGCUGUCACUUACAGAUGGACCCGCGGCGCAUUAGCUAGUUGGUGAGGUAACGGCUCACCAAGGCGACGAUGCGUAGCCGACCUGAGAGGGUGAUCGGCCACACUGGGACUGAGACACGGCCCAGACUCCUACGGGAGGCAGCAGUAGGGAAUCUUCCGCAAUGGACGAAAGUCUGACGGAGCAACGCCGCGUGAGUGAUGAAGGUUUUCGGAUCGUAAAGCUCUGUUGUUAGGGAAGAACAAGUGCAAGAGUAACUGCUUGCACCUUGACGGUACCUAACCAGAAAGCCACGGCUAACUACGUGCCAGCAGCCGCGGUAAUACGUAGGUGGCAAGCGUUGUCCGGAAUUAUUGGGCGUAAAGGGCUCGCAGGCGGUUUCUUAAGUCUGAUGUGAAAGCCCCCGGCUCAACCGGGGAGGGUCAUUGGAAACUGGGAAACUUGAGUGCAGAAGAGGAGAGUGGAAUUCCACGUGUAGCGGUGAAAUGCGUAGAGAUGUGGAGGAACACCAGUGGCGAAGGCGACUCUCUGGUCUGUAACUGACGCUGAGGAGCGAAAGCGUGGGGAGCGAACAGGAUUAGAUACCCUGGUAGUCCACGCCGUAAACGAUGAGUGCUAAGUGUUAGGGGGUUUCCGCCCCUUAGUGCUGCAGCUAACGCAUUAAGCACUCCGCCUGGGGAGUACGGUCGCAAGACUGAAACUCAAGGAAUUGACGGGGGCCCGCACAAGCG